CGAGUGGUAGCCACUAUUAUUGGGCCUAAAGCGUUCGUAGCCGGUUUAGUAAAUUCUUGGGUAAAUCGUACAGCUUAACUGUGCGGAUUCCGGGGACACUACUAGACUUGAGACCGGGAGAGAUUAGAGGUACUUGCAGGGGAGCGGUGAAAUGUUGUAAUCCUGCAGGGACCACCAGUGGCGAAGGCGUCUAAUCAUAACGGCUCUGACGGUGAGGAACGAAACCCUGGGGCGCAAACGGGAUUAGAUACCCCGGUAGUCCAGGGCGUAAACGCUGCUGACUUGGUGUUGGAGAUCCUACGAGGGUGUCCAGUGCUGGCGCGAAGGUAUUAAGUCAGCCGCCUGGGGAGUACGGUCGCAAGACUGAAACUUAAAGGAAUUGGCGGGGGAGCACUGCAACGUGUGGAGCGUGCGGUUUAAUUGGAUUCAACGCCGGAAAACUCACCGGGGGCGACGGUUACAUGAAGGCCAAGCUGAUGACUUUGCCUGAUUUUCCGAGAGGUGGUGCAUGGCCGCCGUCAGUUCGUACCGUAAGGCGUUCUGUUAAGUCAGAUAACGAACGAGACCUCCGUCACCAUUUGCUAUCUUCUUCUCCGGAAGGAGAGCACUAUGGUGGUACCGCCGCUGUUAAAGCGGAGGAAGGAGGGGGCAACGGUAGGUCAGUAUGCCCCGAAUCUCCCGGGCUACACGCGCGCUACAAAGGGCAGGACAAUGGGCUUCGACACCGAAAGGUGAAGGCAAUCCUGAAACCUGCUCGUAAUUCGGAUUGAGGGCUGCAAUUCGCCCUCAUGAAGCUGGAAUACGUAGUAAUCGCGGGUCAACAUCCCGCGGUGAAUAUGCCCCUGCUCCUUGCACACACCGCCCGUCAAACCACCUUAGUUGGGUCUGGACGAGGGUUUGUCUUCUGACACGCUCGAAUCUGGGUUCAGCGAGGAGGGUUAAGUCGUAACAAGGUAUCCGUA
This 962-nucleotide ribosomal RNA is filed under the name marine metagenome. RNAcentral describes it as "bacterial SSU rRNA". It matches the Rfam family "Archaeal small subunit ribosomal RNA", at positions 485 to 1451 of the family's 1478-position model. The record is from RNAcentral.